This 70-nucleotide transfer RNA is filed under the name Ictidomys tridecemlineatus (thirteen-lined ground squirrel). Its description in RNAcentral is "Spermophilus tridecemlineatus (thirteen-lined ground squirrel) tRNA". It matches the Rfam family "tRNA". From Rfam's summary of the family: Transfer RNA (tRNA) molecules are approximately 80 nucleotides in length. Their secondary structure includes four short double-helical elements and three loops (D, anti-codon, and T loops). Lineage: Eukaryota; Metazoa; Chordata; Mammalia; Rodentia; Sciuridae. The record is from Rfam by way of RNAcentral.
UGGGUUGUGGCUCAGUGGUAGAGCACUUGCUUAAUGUGCGAGGCCCUGGGUUUGAUUCUCAGCACCUCAU